RNAcentral lists this ribosomal RNA (394 nucleotides) under uncultured Glomeromycotina. RNAcentral describes it as "LSU rRNA". The record is from RNAcentral. Lineage: Eukaryota; Fungi; Glomeromycota.
UUGAAAGGGAAACGAUUGAAGUCAGUCGUACCGACGAGAAAAUCAGCUUAUCGUGUGUAAACUUGUGGGUGUGCGUGAGUUUCGGCCUCGCUGUUUGCAUGUUUGUGCUCUUUGGGUGUACUUUUUCGUAUGGUAGGCCAAACAUCAGUUUCGAUUACUAUAAAAUGACUGGCGGAAUGUAGCUUCGAUUUCGGUUGAAGUGUUAAUAGCCUCUGGUAGAUGUGGUGAUUGGGACUGAGGAUUGCAACGAAUAUCCUUGGGGCUAUCCGUCUGGGCCUCUGAAAAGUUGCUUGGGGUGCUGAAAAGCUUGCUUAUGGUUAUCUAAAGUUAACGGUCAAAUAGGUUAGAACGUGAUUACAUUCGUUAAAGGAUGUUGACGUAAGUCGACUGCCAA